CAAGUCGCGGGGUAGACAGGAGUGCUUGCACUCGCUGACGACCGGCGCACGGGUGCGUAACGCGUAUAGAACCUACCUUUUACUGGAGGAUAGCCUUUAGAAAUGAAGAUUAAUACUCCAUAGCAUUGAGAUUUGGCAUCAAGACUCACUUAAAGAUUUAUUGGUAAAAGAUGGCUAUGCGUUAUUAGCUAGAUGGUAAGGUAACGGCUUACCAUGGCAACGAUAGAUAGGGGCCCUGAGAGGGGGAUCCCCCACACUGGUACUGAGACACGGACCAGACUCCUACGGGAGGCAGCAGUGAGGAAUAUUGGGCAAUGGAGGCAACUCUGACCCAGCCAUGCCGCGUGCAGGAAGACUGCCCUAUGGGUUGUAAACUGCUUUUAUACAGGAAGAAACAGUCCCUCGUGAGGGACCUUGACGGUACUGUAAGAAUAAGCACCGGCUAACUCCCUGCCAGCAGCCGCGUUAAUAUGGAGGGUGCAAGCGUUAUCCGGAAUCAUUGGUUAAGAUCGGCACGGUCGACUAAGUCAGAGCUGAGAUCCCUUCGGUAACUGAUGGCACUGCUUACGACAGCCGUUGAGU
RNAcentral lists this ribosomal RNA (582 nucleotides) under obligately oligotrophic bacterium POC-111. RNAcentral's name for it is "bacterial SSU rRNA". It matches the Rfam family "Bacterial small subunit ribosomal RNA", at positions 58 to 647 of the family's 1533-position model. The record is from RNAcentral.